GUCUUUGUGGGUGUGGCACCAUCAAGAUUCACAUGGAUUCGGCCGCCGUUGUACAUGAGAAUCUUGAUGAUGCUGCAUCGACAAACAC
This 88-nucleotide microRNA precursor is filed under the name Musa acuminata subsp. malaccensis (wild Malaysian banana). RNAcentral's name for it is "mir-172 microRNA precursor family". It matches the Rfam family "mir-172 microRNA precursor family". Rfam says of the family: mir-172 has been experimentally verified in Arabidopsis thaliana. This family is thought to target mRNAs coding for APETALA2-like transcription factors. Lineage: Eukaryota; Viridiplantae; Streptophyta; Magnoliopsida; Zingiberales; Musaceae. The record is from Rfam by way of RNAcentral.